This 179-nucleotide non-coding RNA is filed under the name Syntrophobacteraceae bacterium. RNAcentral describes it as "6S RNA". It matches the Rfam family "6S / SsrS RNA". From Rfam's summary of the family: E. coli 6S RNA was the first non coding RNA to be sequenced, but its function was unknown until recently. It consists of 184 nucleotides that fold into an extended hairpin structure with a large single-stranded internal bulge. The record is from RNAcentral. Lineage: Bacteria; Pseudomonadati; Thermodesulfobacteriota; Syntrophobacteria; Syntrophobacterales; Syntrophobacteraceae.
UUGCCCCUGCUGUGUUUGUGAUUGGCAGAAUGUUUCUGAGCCAACAUAAACUGAAAGGGUGCUCUGCCUGGCUCCGGUGUGCAUGUCAGUUUCGGCUGAAAGCCUAAAGGAGUUAUAGGGCGCCCACCUGAACCUUAGGUUCAAGACCACCUGUCGACACGGCAUAAUGCGGGGGCAAU